UACAGAGGGUGCGAGCGUUAAUCGGAAUUACUGGGCGUAAAGCGUGCGUAGACGGUUAUGUAAGUCGGAUGUGAAAGCCCCGGGCUCAACCUGGGAAUUGCAUUCGAGACUGCAUAGCUAGGAUGCGGAAGAGGGAAGUGGAAUUUCCGGUGUAGCGGUGAAAUGCGUAGAUAUCGGAAGGAACACCAGUGGCGAAAGCGACUUCCUGGUCCAGCAUCGACGUUCAGGCACGAAAGCGUGGGGAGCAAACAGG
Molecule: ribosomal RNA, 253 nt
Filed under: uncultured bacterium
Lineage: Bacteria
Description: partial 16S ribosomal RNA
Rfam family: Bacterial small subunit ribosomal RNA
Source: RNAcentral